RNAcentral lists this microRNA (23 nucleotides) under Monodelphis domestica (gray short-tailed opossum). RNAcentral describes it as "mdo-miR-12369-5p". The record is from miRBase by way of RNAcentral. Lineage: Eukaryota; Metazoa; Chordata; Mammalia; Didelphimorphia; Didelphidae.
UGGGGGGGGGACGCAGCAGGCCG